This is a long non-coding RNA of Alosa sapidissima (American shad), 227 nucleotides long. RefSeq lists it as uncharacterized. The transcript is spliced from 3 exons. NCBI's taxonomy places the organism in Eukaryota, Metazoa, Chordata, Actinopteri, Clupeiformes, Clupeidae. The record is from RefSeq and is a predicted model, not a curated record.
CCACCCUGGCGCAUGGCGGAAAACUCAUUUUCCACCCCGCGCAAAGUUUAUUUUCGUAUUUUGCACGUCUCAUUUUUAAACAAUGUGCCAGGAGGUGUGGCAAUGAACAACCUAGGGAGUGGUCCGGCGCAUUGUCUAAAAAUCAUACACUACCGAAAAUGCAUUACGCCACUUACCAAGAGAAACCUGGUCAGAAGUCCAUGGCGAGUUACAGUGGUGCAAUGUAA